RNAcentral lists this long non-coding RNA (9998 nucleotides) under Sorghum bicolor (sorghum). RNAcentral describes it as "long non-coding RNA (SBIC_LNC005220)". Lineage: Eukaryota; Viridiplantae; Streptophyta; Magnoliopsida; Poales; Poaceae. The record is from RNAcentral.
GGAUGAAGAAUUAAAACCCUAGCUUUGAUUCUGUAGAAGAGGUAUGAUCUCUAGGGGCCAGGGGGUAUGGUUUUAUAGUCCCUUCAAGUGAAUCUGGGCCGUUGGAUCAAACCGACAUUGAUUGAACGGUUAUCCUUGAUCCUUUAGGUCGGUGGAGCAAUAUCCCGAAAGAGAGUCCUGAUUGGACUCUAUGUGAGGGCGGGCGCUUAGGAGAGUAGGGCGGGCGCCCUGUCCCUGAGUCCUCUCGGCUUCCGCUUUGUUCCCGUGGCUUCUGAAAUCUUCUAGAUGGUAGAAAAUUGCGCAGCACGUUAAUAUCUCUAUGUAAACCCGACGUGUGGGCCUUUCCUCCGUAUUUCCUGAUAACCCCCUGCAGAAAUAGACAAACACCAAAACUCGUGGAAUUCUGUCAGAUAAAACCCUAAGUCUAGGUGUUGGUUCCAUUUGGAUCCUUUUCCAUGAUUAGUUGAUGGUUAAAUGUGAGCAUUAAGGACUGUCAACAAGCUCCCCCAAGCUUAACCUUUGCUCGUCCCUGAGCAAAGAUGGACUCAAGAGUUUCUGUAGUGGUUUUAUGCCUUAAAAAUACACAUUCGUUCAAACAAGAUCUCAUCUCUGGGUUAGGGUAAACUGUUAAGAUUUAAACUUACUCAUUUUACCAUCCACCAUGGGGCUUGCAACCGUCACUUGUGUCUUGAGUAGUUAAAAGAUAGAACGGUCUAGUCAAGCGCCAUGUCUCAUGUUCUUCGAUUAACUAUAGCUCUAGAGUUUUUGCAGAUUUUCAAAUAAAACUUAGAGAUUCCUUGUAUGACUCUCUCUAGUCUCUCUUUUGUGGUAUUUCUGGAUCCUUACCAAGGCAGUAAUGAUUUAUGCCUUCUCUCAAAGUAUGUGGUAUUUUUGGUAUGAGGCAUAGUGACAUUGCCUUCUCUCUCAUCCUACUCUAAUAAGGCUUUUGAUAUCUGGAGCUCAUAGGUGGGAGACAGCUAAUACAUACUUAUAAGACAUUUAUUGCAUUGUCAAACCAUGGAUCCAGAAGAACGAGUCAAUAAGUCAAAUCAAGAUGUGCAUGUGUGGCGAAUGAAUGGUGUAUGGUGAUGAUGGUGAAAGUCUAAUUCUACUUGUGCUCUUUUGAGGGGAUACAAACCUUUCUUGCUCUUUUGAAACUUUUUGAGGAGAAUGAGAUGCUGUAUAUUUUCUUUUUUUCUAUCCUCUCAGGUGGGUAUCUUGUACCCCUAAUUCUACUGUCGGACACUUGUCUAUUUUUACCUCUCGUCUCACUUUUUCUUUUCUUUCGAGGUUCCGGGCACUUGCCCCUUUUUAUUUCCUCAGUUCCUUUUUUUCUCUCUUUUUUUAGAGCACUCAUCUCCUGAAAUAAUAUGGCAAGUGGUAGUAACCAAGAUAACUUGAGCAUUUAUUUCACAGGGGAAAAACAGAAAUGUUUUUGGCUAUUCUCUCUCGGAUUAGGAGUAGAAUAUUUUUGGAUGGUUCUGGAGAUGGAAAUGGGUGGAUAUAUGUGGAUUCGUACUUCCGGAGUAGAAGCAGCAUGUGUGAGUGAAUGUGCAAGUGAAUCUUGAUUUAACCACAUGACAAGCUCCUAAGGGUCUACAUAGCUUGACCACACUCAAUGCUCAUAAGCAGUAAAAAGUAAAUGUGUGGCUCAAAUUCUUAGCAAGCAUGUAUAUAUGGCUGUGGUAGGAAUUCAAACUCUCAUCAUACAGGAACUCAUCAUAUGCUAUUUUAAAGAUUUUCAAAGAUAAAAUUUUCCAGAAUUCUAGCAUCUCUAGGAACAGAUAAGCAGCAGCUCAACCUUUCCAUAUCAUAUCUGUUAACAACUUAGACUUCAGCUCAAGUUCUCUUCCCACAAGUUCAGGUUUAGAGCAAAUCUUAAUUAAUAACUGUCAUGCCUAAACUUGAGAGACAUUUUAAUUUUGAGAACUAGUCAUGGUAGAGCAACUAUUCAUCAUUUCCAUGUGAGAGCUUACCAUAAGGGUUCAUAGCAAACUUUAUUUAUUUAGCAAACUAAGCAAAGAUAUAUAUAAAAGCACAAAAUCUUUAUUUGGGUUUUUAUCAUUAUGCAUCUUUUUAUUAUUUGAGUAAAAUAUAAACGUGAGUAGAACACUUAGCUGGAUAAAUGGGGGUGCUCUCCCCCAAGUUGGAUUUUGACAUAAUUUCUUCUGAUGUAGCUAGCAGGUGGUGGAGGUGUAUUUGAAUGUCGGCAGCACCCUGACAGCGAUUAGGAUGUCCUCCGUCUGGUAGUCUUCUUUGAUCCUUGAAUUCUGUGGAGCUCAAAUAGACAACAAAUCUUUGUGGAACUAGUUAAGUGUUAGCAUAAAUAUGUAGCCUUUAUCAUGUUGAGCCUCCUCAAUAAAUAUUACUUUCUUUAGUAGGAUCAUAAAUUUAUUUUUAUAUUUUCAUUUUUAUAGGACAGGAAUAUAUUUAUUUUAUUUUUACGCCACCACAGUGAAUGUACUUAUGGGUUUUAUGCCAUGAGCAUACUCACAUGGGGCUUACUAUUUUUAACAUUUUUAUUUUCUUUUCAAGAUGAUAUGAACCUGAUUAACUAAGCAAACUAUUUUAAAUAAUUGAAAGGAAAAGGAUAACUACCAAGUUUACCUCUUGGCAGGGCGUUCGGUGUUUUUAAGUCCACCGAACGGGACUCUCCGUUUUCUCAGUCGUCCUGGGAUUCGCUGGAUGGCAUAGUCGGUGGUUCCGGCGGCGCUUGCUCUUCGUGUAAAACUAUCUUCUUUCUCCACACCUGACUCGGUGCUAUGGUCUCCUCAGGACAGUUCUGUUCAAGCUGUAUGUCUUCAGACCUUACAACUUCUCCUUCAUAGUCAGCCCAUCUGUCCUUGAUGAUUUGCCUCCUCUGGUUGCGGUUGUGUCGUCUUCUUCUUGUCCAACCUGCUUAGAAUCUUCAACUAUAUAGUUAGGGUCAGUGAAAUAGCCGCGUACCUUCUCAGAGGGGAAGUGUAUGUGGACUUCUCUGGUUCCAAUGUAGAUGAUUGCUUUAACGGUGCUAAAGAUCGGUCUUCCAAGGAUGAUGGGUGGAUCGUACUCGUCUUCUCCCAUGUCAAUAACCUUCAAUCUUUCAGAAUGUCUCAUCUGCCAUCUGGAGCUGAAUGUAUGUCGGUUUUAGGGGCAUGGUUCCCAAUAGGAGCUGAUAGGUGACUGGGUCGUCCUUUUUGGUCAGGAACUGUGACUUUAAGUCGACGAUCUUGACCUCCUUGAACUACAGUGACCGUCUUAGCUGACUUGGUCCACAUUUGCUUGUUCAUGUUCCUCCUGUUGGUCCUCUUUCUUGGUUCAUGUCGGGAUUGCUUUGAGAUUUGUGUAGUCUUGUUCUUGAAGGAAAACGUCUCCUUCCUCCCCUUGAUGUAGAAAUGGAUUUUAGCAGCACUAGUGUAGAUGACAGCUCCCGAGGUGUUCAGGAAUGGCCUCCCUAGGAUGAUGGAUGCCCUCUCAUCAGUAUCAGUCUCUAUCACCACGAAGUCUGCUGGAGCGUAUAAGGUACCAACUCGGACGUAGAGGUUCUUCAAUAUUCCCUUUGGGAAACUUAGUGUCUGAUCUGCAAGCUGCAAACACAUGGUUGUUUCCUAGGCAUAAUGUUGACACUGGAGCCAAAGUUGUAGAGUGCUUCUGGGAUAACGGUGCGUCCUGGAUCGCCUCUCUUGACCGGCAGAAGGUCAGUAAUUACUUCCACAACGGGGUUACUCCAGUAGUUACGUCCUCAAGCAUCUCAGGGCAGUGAUUGCCUGAGUGUCUAGUAUCUCCAGUGUGUUUGUGCUCGUAGAUCUAGGUUCUUCACUUGGUGGAGUCUGGGAGUUGUAAAAGUCCUUCAUAUUUUGCUCGAAGUGUACCUGCUCAUAGAGACAAGGCAGAGAUCAAGUGCAUGGGCCCUGUUGAUGGAAAAAACCAACAGAACCAAAAGUGUAUUUGUUCUUCUCUAUCCUUAAGCAUAGUGAGCAAAACAAAGUAGAUGGAUAAUAAGAUCAUGGGUGUAGCAUUUAAAACAUUUAUCAGAUCAGAUCGCUCAACCUAAUGGAAAGAUAAUCUAUCUAUACUUAUGUGUUUUCUUUUUUUUUUAUAUAUAUCUUCCAAAGACUGAGUGUGCAACACUUUAGCUCAUAUGAUUAGGAGUGCGGGAUCACAAAGGUGGAAGGACUAAACAUGUUGAAUCAGUUGGGUUGGUUAAUCUAUAGCUGUAAAUCAUACAUGUUUGUCUCUUUUAUUCAUGUGAACGCCAGAACCAAGGAGAAGCUUUAUAAAAGUGAUAGUCAAGUACCUUAAGAUGUUACCUUACUUGAAGAGUGAUGGUACAGUAUCACCUUAUGGAAGCUUUCCUUUCUUAGCGGUUGUGCAUCGUGUUUGUGGCACCCUCCAUGGAUCAUCUCUUGUGAGCUAUGUCUUCCUUGUGUAAAUUGUUAAACUUUAUGUGUCUCUCUCUUUGUCUCCAAUGUGAGUUUAUCUCAGGACUUCCCAGGUCGAUAUUGAAUGUUUUCCUACAGGGGUUAGUCCAACAAAAUAUCCAAUAUCUACUAUAGCAUAUUAUCGGCUCAAAAAUCAACCUAGACACCAUGUCUAAUUUGAUUUAGGAGGGCAUUUUAACCUAAGCAUCAUGCUUAAUUUAAACUCCCUUGGAAGUAAAAUCAUCAGCCCUAAACUAAGCACCAUGCUUAAUUAAGAGAUAAAUGAAACUAAUCCAAACCUAGACAUAUACUAAAGCAAAUAAAGGUAGCAUGAGAGCAUUUAUAGAGAUCUACUCAAGUGGAGAUGAAGUAGUGUGAUUACUAUUUAACAAAUUGAGCAUGUCUCAAAGGUAGGAACAACCAACAUAGCAACAUGGCAAAUGAUGUUUUUAUAUAAAGUACUCCCCCAAGCUUGAAUUUUGCAAAAUUCAAGUUUGGAUUAAUUUAAUUCAAUGUUGUAUGAUGGUUAGUUGGACAUACCUUGUGCUUGUCAUUCAUCCGAUCUUCUUGCUCCAAUCCUAAAAAGGUUAGUGACAAGAAUACCCGAAGGAAUACUUUUACAAUUAUCCUUAUAUGCUCAACACACAAGGUAAUGUUGCAUAUAAUUAAAAGCUGAUGUUACGAUCUAAUCAGUGCUUGUUUUAGGACACUAAGCUUGCCCUUGGGAAACCAUCAAUUUAUGUCAGCGAAGAGGUUUCCCCUCCAACGCUGACCUAUAUCAAGAUUAACUCAACGAGAUCUGCAAUAUUUAAUAUAGACAUAUGCAUCGACAACCGCCCUUUUAAAGUUUUUAUAAAUAGAAAGGAAGUGGGAGUUGGAGAUCUCGAAUGUGGUGAUGUUGGAAAAACCAAUGGAUUGGAAAGAUGUUGCAUAUGAGCAUGGAGCAAAUGAAGUGGCUAUGAAAUAAAUUCCAUGCUCAUUAAUGCUUAGAGUGAAAUCCAUGUGGUAUGGUGAAAAUGAUAAGGUGACUGUGGUAAAAAAAGGAAAAGAAAAAGGAUACACGGACGACUUGGUUCGAAACUAGCACCGCUACCGUUCCCCGGCAACGGCGCCAGAAAGCUUGUUGGGUAUUUUAAACGCAAACAGAAAAAUCCGCAAGUGCACGGAUACCGAUGUAGCCUUCACCCGGGAGUAUUCCAGAGUAUCGAUUUUCCACAGAGAAUGUGAGUGUACUAAUUAAGAUCCAAGAUCGCCCAAGGAUAACUAUAUAAUUAUUUUUGGUGGGAAGAGAGGAAGUUUCCUGAGAGUUCUCUAGUUGAUCUAAGAAUCAAGAAUUACUUCAAGAUUAUCUAUAUCGGGACAUCAGAGCACUAACCACAGAAAGAGAUGAGAAGGGGGCUAGGAAGGUCUGACUACGGUCCUACAAACACCGAUCCGAACGAGGUGGAAUACGUCGACCGUUAGGGCUGUCACUACCCUAAGGCUACCACAACAAUCCGCAAGAUUGGGUGCAAUUCCAGGUAAUUGCAAGACUAAACACCACGUCUAAUCUAUUAAUUACUACUCUAGCGUUAUAAAGACUAGAGCACUUGAUGCAAGCGGGAAUCCAAUAAAUAACUUGAAUGUAAAUAAAAGUAUUUAAAGAACUCAGGAAUUAUGAAUUGAAGAACCUGGAGAACGAUGAAGAACGAACCAGUUGCUGCAAAAGUACAAUGUUGAGGAAGAUCUGACAGAUCCGGCUCCUCCUCCGCUCUCCUCUUCUCUCUCCCUAUUUUCUAGAUUACAACUAGAACUAACUAGAACUAGAACUAUAGGAACUAGAACUAGAACUAGAUGAACUAGAACUAGAUCUAGAUGAACUAGAAGUAGAACUAGAAGAACUAGAGGGAUCCUCUCUACUUGGAUGAAGAAUUGAAACCCUAGCUUUGAUUCUGUAGAAGUGGUAUGAUCUCCAGGGGCCAGGGGGUCUGGUUUUAUAGUCCCUUCAAGUGAAUCUGGGCCGUUGGAUCAAACCGACAUUGAUUGAACGGUUAUCCUUAAUCCUUUAGGUCGGUGGAGCAAAAUCGUCCCUUCAAGUGAAUCUGGGCCGUUGGAUCAAACCGACAUUGAUUGAACGGUUAUCCUUGAUCCUUUAGGUCGGUGGAGCAAUAUCCCGAAAGAGAGUCCUGAUUGGACUCUAUGUGAGGGCGGGCGCCUAGGAGAGUAGGGCGGGCACCCUGUCCCUGAGUCCUCUUGGCUUCUGCUUUGUUCCGGUGGCUUCUGGAGUCUUCUAGAUGGUAGAAAAUUGCGCAGCACGUUAAUAUCUCUAUGUAAACCCGACGUGUGGGCCUUUCCUCCGUAUUUCCUGAUAACCCCUGCAGAAAUAGACAAACACCAAAACUCGUGGAAUUCUGUCACAUAAAACCCUAAGUCUAGGUGUUGGUUCCAUUUGGAUCCUUUUCCAUGAUUAGGUGAUGGUUAAAUGUGAGCAUUAAGGACCGUCAACAAUGGUGACAAAGAUAAUUAAUCUGAUCAGCAUAACUUAGCCACAUAUAAUAAUGAUAAGUACCUCAAUAGAUAUUCUAGCAAGUCAUUAUCAUAGAAUUAGGACGAACUACAAGAAUAUUUCCUAAGUUAUUCUUAACUAUAAAGUCUAGCAUAUCAUAGUUAGUGCAAUUAUACUUGGCAAUCAUUGCGAGAUAGGACUACGCCCAUGCAUAGUGAUAUUAUCAAGGAAGAUGAGAAACAUAGCAAUCACUCCCCUGUAAUAAUGUUGCUCUGCCAGCCCUAUACACGAGAGGGGGACUAUAUAAGAAUCAAUGGAGCUGUCACUACCAUGAACUACCCCGCGAUCUGGCAUAUAGGGUACAAUCUGUUGAUAUUUGGUAACGCAAUAAUGAAAUGAUCCGCAAGCGCACGGAUAUCGGUGAGCAUUUCACCCGGGUGGUUAUCCAGAGUUAUCGUAUUUAUAUUUUUACCACUGGGAGAAAGGGUGCAUCUGACUAACCAAAUCUAUUGCUACUAUCCCUUUAGGCUACAAAGAAUGUCUCUCGAUGUGAGUGAUGUAUAGAGAAGACUGCAACCGUAGUCUCGUCCUAACCUUGGUAAGGAUGAUCUACUGUUCUAUUGGGGAGGCUCACGGAAUCUAGACAACACAAAGGAUGUUCGACCCGCACCUAUAAACCUACCCGUCCUGCUAACGAGAUGUGAUCUGCAAAGGUAACUCGGAAAUGUCACGUUCCUCGCUACUACCACGGUCCAGCUAGUCAGGGGAUAUCUAUGAGUACCCUAGCCUAAACACCACGUUUACGCUAACAAGUGAUUACUCUAAUACUCAACCGGAAGAGGAUUAAAGUAAACUCAUAAACCAAAGAACAAUAAAACAAGAACUUACUAGUAUUAGAAGUCGAAUUUCUGAAGAAUCUUAGAAGCAAGCCUCGCGUUAGGAGACUUGAUACCGUAGGUACAACUCGGAGUAGACACCGACAGGCCGGCCUUCCUCCGAUCCACACCUCCACUCUAUCUCUCUCAAUCUAGUAGAAACUAGAAGAUCUAUUUCUACCUUACAUUGGUUGCUAAGCCUAAAAAGAAAUAUUAUUUAGAGAAGAGGUUUUCCUUCGAGGGCACCCCUCAAUCUCUAUGAUAAUUUCCUGUCUCCUCCAGGGCCAGAGGGGGUCUCCUUAUAUAGUCCUCCCCUUCUAUGCAUUUUUAGGUCGAUAGGCGAGGUGGUACUAUGUUAUUCUGGAUCCAAUAGGUCGGUGGAACGUCGUGUGCGAAGAGAGUCCUGUUUGGACCCGACAGGUGGGCGGGCGCCCUGGGCCUGGCCCCGUUUCGCCUCCGCUUCGGUCUCGUGGCUUCUGGAGUCUUCUAGAUGGUAGAAAAUUGCGCGGUGGGUUGAUAUCUCUAUGUAAUCCCGACAUGUGGGCCUUUCUUUCUUAUUUCUUGAUAACCCCCUGCAGAAAUAGACAAACACCAAAACUCGUGGAAUUCUGUCAGAUAAAACCCUAAGUCUAGAUGUUGAUUUCAUUUGGAUCCUUUUCUUUGUUUAUUUGAUAAUUAAAUUUGAUACUUAAGGACCGUCAACAAACUCCCCCAAGCUUACCUCUUGCUCGUCCCUGAGCAAGGAUAGACUCGGCAAUGGAUCAUAAAUUGUUGCAAUAUUUUUUAAAAUUGAUGUACACAUGCUUUUUAAAUAAGAUCUCAUCUCUGAGUUAGAGUAAACUGUCAAGACUUAAAACUUACUUACUUUACCUUUCACCAUGGGACUUGUAACUGUCACUUCUGUCUUGAGAGGUUAAAAGAUAGAACAGUCUAGUCAAGUGCCAUGUCUCUUAUUCUUGAUCAGCUAUAGCUCUGGGGUUUUUGCAGAUUUUCAAAUAAAACUCAGAGAUUCCUUAUAUGACUCUCUCAGAUCUCUCUUUUGUGGUAUUUCUGGAUCCUUACCAAGGCAGUAAUGGUAUAUGCCUUCUCUCAAAGUAUGUGGUAUUUUUGGUUUGAGGCAUAGUGAUAUUGCCUUCUCUCUCACCCUACUCUAAUAAGGUUCUGAUAUCUGGAGCUCAUAGGUGGGAGACAGCUAAUACAUACUUACAAGACAUUUAUUGCAUAGUCAAACCAUGGAUCCAGAGAAACAAGUCAAUAAGUCAAAUCAAGAUGUGCAUGUGUGGUGAAUGAAUGGUGUAUGGUGAUGAUGAUGAUAAUAAUGGUGAAAGUCUAAUUCUACUUUUGCUCUUUUGAGGGGAUACAUACCUUUCUUGCACUUUGAACCUUUUUAGGGAGAAUGAGAUGCUCUAUAUUUUCUUUUUCUUUCCUCUCAGGUGGGUAUCUUGUACCCCUAAUUCUACUGUCGGACACUUGUCCAUUUUUACCUCUCGUCUCACUUUUUAUUUUCUUUCGAGGUUCCGGGCACUUGCCCCUUUUUAUUUCCUCGCAUUUUUCCUAUUUUUCUUCUUUCUUUUUUUUUCUUUUCUUUCUUUUUUUUCAGAGCAUUCAUCUCUUGAGAUAAUAUAGCAAGUGGUAGUAACAAGAUAACUUGAGCAUUUAUUUCACAAGGGGAAACAGAAAUAUUUUUGGUUAUUCUCUCCUGGAUUAGGAGUAGAAUAUUUUUGGGUGAUUCUGAAGAUGGAAAUGGAUGGAUAUAUGUGGAUGGUACUUCCGGAGUGGAAGUAGCAUAUAUGAGUGAAUGUGCAUGUGAAUCUUGAUUUAACCACAUGACAAGCUCCUAAGGGUCUACACAGCUUGACCACACUCAAUGCUCAUAAGCAGUAAAUAGUAAAUGUGUGGCUCAAAGUCUAGCAAGCAUGUAUAUAUGGUUGUGGUAGGAAUUUAAACUCUCAUCAUACAGGAACUCAUUAUGCAACAUUUUAAAGAUUUUCAAAGAUAAAAUUCUCCAGAAUUCUAGCAUCUCUAGGAACAGAUAAACAGCAGCUCAACCUUCCCAUAUCGUAUCCGUUAACAACUUAGACUUCAGAUCAAGUUUUCAUCCCACAAGUUUAGGUCUAGAGCAAGCCUUAAAUUAUAACAGUUAUAUCUAAACUUGAGAGAGAACUUCAAAUUUGCAAAUUAGGCAGAGCAACUAUUCAUCAUAUCCAUGCUUAAGUUUUAUUAGAUACAGAUUAGCAU